Molecule: small nuclear RNA, 107 nt
Organism: Dipodomys ordii (Ord's kangaroo rat)
Lineage: Eukaryota; Metazoa; Chordata; Mammalia; Rodentia; Heteromyidae
Source: Ensembl
GUGCUCGCUUCGGCAGCACAUAUACUAAAAUUAGAAGGAUACAGAGAAGAUUAGCAUGGUCCCUGCACAAGGAUGACACACAAAUUCGUGAAGCGUUCCAUAUUUUU